AAACUUUCAACAACGGAUCUCUUGGUUCUGGCAUCGAUGAAGAACGCAGCGAAAUGCGAUAAGUAAUGUGAAUUGCAUCUUUGAACGCACAUUGCGCCCUUUGGUAUUCCGAAGGGCAUGCCUGUUCGAGCGUCAUUUCACCACUCAAGCCUGGCUUGG
Molecule: ribosomal RNA, 159 nt
Filed under: Pseudocercospora eumusae
Lineage: Eukaryota; Fungi; Ascomycota; Dothideomycetes; Mycosphaerellales; Mycosphaerellaceae
Description: 5.8S ribosomal RNA
Rfam family: 5.8S ribosomal RNA (bases 2-135)
About the family: 5.8S ribosomal RNA (5.8S rRNA) is a component of the large subunit of the eukaryotic ribosome. It is transcribed by RNA polymerase I as part of the 45S precursor that also contains 18S and 28S rRNA.
Source: RNAcentral